GACGAACGCUGGCGGCGUGCUUAACACAUGCAAGUCGAACGGAAAGGCCCUGCGUUUGUGGGGUGCUCGAGUGGCGAACGGGUGAGUAACACGUGAGUAACCUGCCCUUGACUUUGGGAUAACUUCAGGAAACUGGGGCUAAUACCGGAUAGGAGCUCCUGCUGCAUGGUGGUGGUUGGAAAGUUUCGGCGGUUGUGGAUGGACUCGCGGGUUAUCAGCUUGUUGGUGGGGUAGUGGUUUACCAAGGCUUUGACGGGUAGCCGGCCUGAGAGGGUGACCGGCCACAUUGGGACUGAGAUACGGCCCAGACUCCUACGGGCGGCAGCAGUGGGGAAUAUUGCACAAUGGGCGGAAGCCUGAUGCAGCAACGCCGCGUGCGGGAUGACGGCCUUCGGGUUGUAAACCGCUUUCGCCUGUGACGAAGCGUGAGUGACGGUAAUGGGUAAAGAAGCACCGGCUAACUACGUG
This 468-nucleotide ribosomal RNA is filed under the name uncultured bacterium. Its description in RNAcentral is "partial 16S ribosomal RNA". It matches the Rfam family "Bacterial small subunit ribosomal RNA", at positions 28 to 507 of the family's 1533-position model. The record is from RNAcentral.